This 429-nucleotide ribosomal RNA is filed under the name Pseudomonadota bacterium. RNAcentral describes it as "Proteobacteria bacterium partial 16S ribosomal RNA". It matches the Rfam family "Bacterial small subunit ribosomal RNA", at positions 355 to 776 of the family's 1533-position model. The record is from RNAcentral. Lineage: Bacteria; Pseudomonadati; Pseudomonadota.
UGGGGAAUAUUGGACAAUGGGCGAAAGCCUGAUCCAGCCAUGCCGCGUGUGUGAAGAAGGUCUUCGGAUUGUAAAGCACUUUAAGUUGGGAGGAAGGGCAGUAAGCGAAUACCUUGCUGUUUUGACGUUACCGACAGAAUAAGCACCGGCUAACUCUGUGCCAGCAGCCGCGGUAAUACAGAGGGUGCAAGCGUUAAUCGGAAUUACUGGGCGUAAAGCGCGCGUAGGCGGCUAAUUGAGUCGGAUGUGAAAUCCCCGAGCUUAACUUGGGAAUUGCAUUCGAUACUGGUUAGCUAGAGUGUGGGAGAGGAUGGUAGAAUUCCAGGUGUAGCGGUGAAAUGCGUAGAGAUCUGGAGGAAUACCGAUGGCGAAGGCAGCCAUCUGGCCUAACACUGACGCUGAGGUACGAAAGCAUGGGGAGCAAACAGG